AAAACAUGACUUUGGUCUCCGUCCUCAUCUGGACUCUCCUCUGCUGCUGCUUCACAGAGUCCAGAGGCCAGAUCACAGUGACUCAGCCUGGAGCAGUGAGCUCUGCUCUGGGAGCCUCCGUCUCCAUCAGCUGUAGCGUCAGUCAGCAGGUGGAAGUGGGAUUAUCAAGUGGUAAAGAUCUGUUACAUUGGUACCAACAGAGAGGAGAAGAAGCUCCUAAACUGCUCAUUUAUAGGGUUAAUGAGCGAGAAUCAGGGAUUCCAGGUCGUUUUUCUGGCAGUGGAUCUGGGACUGACUUCACUCUGACCAUCAGUGGAGUUCAGGCUGAAGAUGCAGCAGUUUACUACUGUCAGAGUUAUCAUUAUAUCAACAGUCAGGAUGUGUUCACACAGUGAAAAAGCGUCGUACAAAAACCUCCCUCAGUCAGACUGAACAGAAACUGAACUGACUGCUGCAGCUGGAAGCUACUGCAGAGACUGAUACAGUUCACUGAGGA
Micropterus salmoides (largemouth bass) is the source of this 496-nucleotide non-coding RNA. Lineage: Eukaryota; Metazoa; Chordata; Actinopteri; Centrarchiformes; Centrarchidae. The record is from the annotation of a RefSeq genome assembly.